This 305-nucleotide ribosomal RNA is filed under the name uncultured bacterium. RNAcentral's name for it is "bacterial SSU rRNA". It matches the Rfam family "Bacterial small subunit ribosomal RNA", at positions 333 to 655 of the family's 1533-position model. The record is from RNAcentral.
CCACCUACGGGACGCAGCAGUGGGGAAUAUUGGGCAAUGGGCGCAAGCCUGACCCAGCAACGCCGCGUGAAGGAAGAAGGCUUUCGGGUUGUAAACUUCUUUUAAGAGGGAAGAGUAGAAGACGGUACCUCUUGAAUAAGCCACGGCUAACUACGUGCCAGCAGCCGCGGUAAUACGUAGGUGGCAAGCGUUGUCCGGAUUUACUGGGUGUAAAGGGCGUGUAGCCGGGCCGGCAAGUCAGAUGUGAAAUCCCAUGGCUCAACCCUUGAACUGCAUUUGAAACUGUCGUUCUUGAGUACUGGAGA